UACGUAGGCGGCUUUGCAAGUUAGAGGUGAAAGCCUGGAGCUCAACUCCAGAACUGCCUUUAAAACUGCAUCGCUUGAAUCCAGGAGAGGUGAGUGGAAUUCCGAGUGUAGAGGUGAAAUUCGUAGAUAUUCGGAAGAACACCAGUGGCGAAGGCGGCUCACUGGACUGGUAUUGACGCUGAGGUACGAAAGUGUGGGAGCAAACA
Molecule: ribosomal RNA, 206 nt
Filed under: uncultured bacterium
Lineage: Bacteria
Description: partial 16S ribosomal RNA
Rfam family: Bacterial small subunit ribosomal RNA
Source: RNAcentral